RNAcentral lists this ribosomal RNA (372 nucleotides) under bacterium. Its description in RNAcentral is "bacterial SSU rRNA". It matches the Rfam family "Bacterial small subunit ribosomal RNA", at positions 388 to 752 of the family's 1533-position model. The record is from RNAcentral.
CGAGCAACGCCGCGUGAGUGAAGAAGGUUUUCGGAUCGUAAAACUCUGUUGUUAGAGAAGAACAAGGAUGAGAGUAACUGUUCAUCCCUUGACGGUAUCUAACCAGAAAGCCACGGCUAACUACGUGCCAGCAGCCGCGGUAAUACGUAGGUGGCAAGCGUUGUCCGGAUUUAUUGGGCGUAAAGCGAGCGCAGGCGGUUUCUUAAGUCUGAUGUGAAAGCCCCCGGCUCAACCGGGGAGGGUCAUUGGAAACUGGGAGACUUGAGUGCAGAAGAGGAGAGUGGAAUUCCAUGUGUAGCGGUGAAAUGCGUAGAUAUAUGGAGGAACACCAGUGGCGAAUGCGGCUCUCUGGUCUGUAACUGACGCUGAGGC